GCUGGGCAUGGUGGCGUGUGCCUAUAAUCCCAGCUACUCGGGAGGCAGAGGCAGGAGAAUCACUUGAACCCAAGAGGUGGAGAAUGCAGUGAGCCUGAGGUGGUGCCACUGCACUCCAGCCUGGGUGACAAAGUGAGACUCUGUCUCAA
This is a non-coding RNA of Pan troglodytes (chimpanzee), 149 nucleotides long. It matches the Rfam family "Metazoan signal recognition particle RNA". From Rfam's summary of the family: The signal recognition particle (SRP) is a universally conserved ribonucleoprotein. It is involved in the co-translational targeting of proteins to membranes. NCBI's taxonomy places the organism in Eukaryota, Metazoa, Chordata, Mammalia, Primates, Hominidae. The record is from Rfam.